RNAcentral lists this ribosomal RNA (200 nucleotides) under uncultured Glomus. Its description in RNAcentral is "partial small subunit ribosomal RNA". It matches the Rfam family "Eukaryotic small subunit ribosomal RNA", at positions 591 to 785 of the family's 1831-position model. The record is from RNAcentral. Lineage: Eukaryota; Fungi; Glomeromycota; Glomeromycetes; Glomerales; Glomeraceae.
CCAAUAGCGUAUAUUAAGGUUGCUGCGGUUAAAAAGCUCGUAGUUGAAUUUCGGGAUUGAUGCAUCGGUCGUGCCUUAAGGGGUAUGAACUGGUGUGGUCAAUUUCUUACCUUCUGGUGAAUUGUGAUGCCCUCCUUAAUUGGGUGUUUCAAUGAACUAGGACUUUUUACUUUGAAAAAAUUAGAGUGUUUAAAGCAGGC